RNAcentral lists this small RNA (855 nucleotides) under Porodaedalea pini. RNAcentral's name for it is "eukaryotic LSU rRNA". The stretch from base 378 to 531 matches the Rfam family "5.8S ribosomal RNA". The record is from RNAcentral. Lineage: Eukaryota; Fungi; Basidiomycota; Agaricomycetes; Hymenochaetales; Hymenochaetaceae.
CGAUGUAAGUAUAAGAUAGGUACUGUGAGUAUAAAGUUAUAACUGAUAGAGAGACGACAGUUAGAGUUAUAGCGCGCCUAAGUGUGAUCUGCAAUGAUCAUUAAUCGAGUUUUUAGAAUCGAGGGCUUGAUAGCUGGCGCCCCUAAACACGCACUGUGCUCGGCCUUCGUGCUUAAUCCACUCAACACCUGUGCACCUUAUCGAAGUUAGUAGUCUUUCCUCCUUAGUUGGAGCCGCCGGGGUUGACUUUGUUAGUAGUGUUUCGACGCGAAAGCAUAUGGUCGGCCUUGGCUGGGAUUGACGAACACUUUGACUUCAUCAUACACACUUUAAUUGUCUUGUAGAAUGUAAUGCUCCUUGUGGGCGAAAUGAAAUACAACUUUCAACAACGGAUCUCUUGGCUCUCGCAUCGAUGAAGAACGCAGCGAAAUGCGAUAAGUAAUGUGAAUUGCAGAAUUCAGUGAAUCAUCGAAUCUUUGAACGCACCUUGCGCCCCUUGGUAUUCCGAGGGGCAUGCCUGUUUGAGUGUCAUGUUAACAUCAAACCCCUUGCUUGUAAAGGCUCGGGGCUUGGAUUUGGAGGUUUGUGCCGGCCUGCUUCAUUGUCAGUUGUCGGCUCCUCUUAAAUGGAUUAGCUGGACUUUGGUCUGCGUGUCGGUGUGAUAGUUUAUUCACCAAUCGCUUUCCUAAAUGGGUCUGCUUUCUAAUGGUCUUCGGAACAAAGGUUCUUUUAACAGCCCUUUCUUUGACUUCUUUUGACCUCCAAAAUCAGGGUUAGGACUACCCGCCUGACCUUAAGCCAUUAUUCCAAUUAGCCGGAAGAAAAAGAAAACUUAAACCCAGAGGGGAAAUAAUC